GUUCAUGGCUCAGGAUGAACGCUAGCUACAGGCUUAACACAUGCAAGUCGAGGGGCAGCAUGGUCUUAGCUUGCUGAGGCCGAUGGCGACCGGCGCACGGGUGAGUAACACGUAUCCAACCUGCCGUCUACUCUUGGACAGCCUUCUGAAAGGAAGAUUAAUACAAGAUGGCAUCAUGAGUUCACAUGUUCACAUGAUUAAAGGUAUUCCGGUAGACGAUGGGGA
This 225-nucleotide ribosomal RNA is filed under the name uncultured bacterium. RNAcentral's name for it is "partial 16S ribosomal RNA". It matches the Rfam family "Bacterial small subunit ribosomal RNA", at positions 15 to 231 of the family's 1533-position model. The record is from RNAcentral.